GCCCGGCGAUCGUGCCAUCUUCCUCGGAGACGCCAUGCCGCGGCUCCGCCUCCUCCGGAAGUACUCAAUUGACCCCGUGGGGUGGAAGCCGGUGAUCCUCGACCGCUCAGUCGACUUCGUUCUCGCAGCCGAUGGCUUCGGCGACCCCAAUUUCAGCUUCAUCGACCGCGUCCUCCGGAUCGGAGGCGUCACCGCUGUCCGGCUGGGGUCCGACCCGUCGCAGGCGUUCAACAUGCCGCCGAAUUACCGGCUGGCGUACAUUCGACGGUUCGGCUCCACCGUCGUGGCAAUUAAGAAGAUUGCUCAUGCUGAUAUCCACUCAAAUUCACAUUUAAUGUCAUCUCUGGCUGAUCAGCCGGCUGUUAGUCGGAUGUGGAGACGGUUGUUAUCGGUGUCAGCACCACGGGCGGUGCUGGAGGGGCUGGAGGGCGCGCUGAUGGAGCCGCCGAGGGAGGGCUCGCCUGCGCCGCAGACAAUGUACUUACCGGAGCUGAUGGGAGAGGACUGGCUGGAUGGGUAUGUGAGGCGUGUGUUUGUUGAUGUUGCCACUGGGGAUGGGGAUGGUAGUGAGUGGUUUGAGAAGAAUUACCCGAAGGGGGGUCGUGAAUUUGACACUGUGAAGGUGGAGGCGGCGGCAGGGGCGGUGGCUGAUUGGUUGAAGGGAAAUGUUGUGGAGGAU
RNAcentral lists this unclassified non-coding RNA (679 nucleotides) under Hevea brasiliensis (rubber tree). The record is from RNAcentral. Lineage: Eukaryota; Viridiplantae; Streptophyta; Magnoliopsida; Malpighiales; Euphorbiaceae.